Long non-coding RNA from Coturnix japonica (Japanese quail), 471 nucleotides. RefSeq lists it as uncharacterized. The record is from RefSeq and is a predicted model, not a curated record. NCBI's taxonomy places the organism in Eukaryota, Metazoa, Chordata, Aves, Galliformes, Phasianidae.
UCUAGCCUACCUUGCAAAAGGAUCUGUCAUUUAUAGUCUUUUUUUUUUCUUCUUCUUCUUUUUUAUUAUUAUUGCUUUGUUUUUGGUUUUGGUUUUUUGCAUAUAAAGGUGAGACUCAUGCCUUGCACAAGUUUUCAUAUAAGGUUCUGUGAUUUGAUAUAGAUGUUGAAUCCAGGUAUUCUCAAACAACUGACAGGCUAGUUUUUCAAGAAAGGAGAAAUUGAUCCUGCCACCUACUUCACCCUGUGGAAUUUCUGCACAGUACUAACUCACAGUGGAUGUAAUUCAAAUGUACUGUUCUCCUUCUGAUCUAAGUUGAUAUUCCACUGCUGUUAAUGAAAGGAAGAUGCGCAGAGCUGUGGGUGAAAGAAGAUUGAAGACUGAAGAACAAUUCUCUUAUGCUGCUUAAGAGAGAUACCUCUAUUUUUAUGUAUCAUAUUGCCAUAAGUAGCCUCUAAUAUGUGAAAUUUA